GCGGUAAGUUUCUUCGGAAACCUAGAGCGGCGCACGGGUGAGUAACGCGUACAUGACCUACCUUUAAGACCGGGAUAGCCCUGGGAAACUGGGAUUAAUACCGGAUGUGAUAAUAGAUAUAAAGAUUUAUUAUUAAAGUUCCGGCGCUUAGAGAUGGAUGUGCGUCUGAUUAGCUAGUUGGUAGGGUAACGGCCUACCAAGGCGACGAUCAGUAGGGGGCGUGAGAGCGUGGCCCCCCACACGGGUACUGAGACACGGACCCGACUCCUACGGGAGGCAGCAGUAAGGAAUAUUGGUCAAUGGACGGAAGUCUGAACCAGCCAUCCCGCGUGCAGGAUGAAGGUCCUAUGGAUUGUAAACUGCUUUUAGCAGAGACGAAACGCUUUCAUUUAUGAGAGUCUGACGGUAUCUGCAGAAUAAGCACCGGCUAACUCCGUGCCAGCAGCCGCGGUAAUACGGAGGGUGCAAGCGUUAUCCGGAAUCACUGGGUUUAAAGGGUGCGUAGGCGGGAAAUUAAGUCAGUGGUGAAAUCCUGUCGCUUAACGAUAGAACUGCCAUUGAUACUGAUUUUCUUGAAUUGGGUUGAGGUU
RNAcentral lists this ribosomal RNA (590 nucleotides) under uncultured bacterium. RNAcentral's name for it is "bacterial SSU rRNA". It matches the Rfam family "Bacterial small subunit ribosomal RNA", at positions 66 to 659 of the family's 1533-position model. The record is from RNAcentral.